GCUGGGCUAGCUCAGUCGGUAGUGCAUGGGACUCUUAAUCUCAGGGUUGUGGGUUUGAGCCCCACAUUGGGUG
Molecule: non-coding RNA, 73 nt
Organism: Podarcis lilfordi (Lilford's wall lizard)
Lineage: Eukaryota; Metazoa; Chordata; Lepidosauria; Squamata; Lacertidae
Source: the annotation of a GenBank genome assembly